Molecule: long non-coding RNA, 2689 nt
Organism: Cyclopterus lumpus (lumpfish)
Lineage: Eukaryota; Metazoa; Chordata; Actinopteri; Perciformes; Cyclopteridae
Exons: 3
Source: RefSeq, a predicted model, not a curated record
CACACCGUCUCUGAGCAGUAAAUCCUAUCUUACUGGCAUUCUCCAGGUCUACCUAACCGUGACUCGAGAUGGACAGAUACGUUACUCAUUGACUGAAAUUGACUGAAAUAAUUUCCAUGAAAAGCCCAAAAGCAACAAUCCAUGAGUCCAUCUUUCACGGUGCUGUCAGCCUCUUGCCCAUUUGUUCAUACUGAAAACAUACCUACCUGCUACCUGUAUGCAUUUAAAAACAGCUCAUGAAUGUACAGUUACAUUUUAUUAAGUAUUUAAAAAUGUAUACAAUAUUUAGAAAUGUUUUAAGUAAAUUCUUAAAACAGUAGAAGUUUUUAGCUAAAUGUAUUUUAAACAAGAGUUUGUUUUCAGGCAAAGAUUUACAGGAGUAGAAAAACGUAUGCGAUAAUUUAUAAAUAAACUACACGGCCCAUGUUGAUUGUAAUGAAGGAACAUGUUAUCGUUUAUUAAGUUUUUGGACAACAAUGGAGCUCUAUGGCACGGAGGAUUAGCCAUAUCAGGUUUUAGCAACAUAAAUAAUACUUGUAAGUAGGAUCACUUCAUUCUUGUUGAUUAGAGAUCUGAUGGGCCUGUUGUAAUGUGUAAAACAACAAAGUAACAUAACUCUAUUAAAGCGGUGGGGAAUGUCAGAUUUUCAGAUUCUUAUAAACAUCAUAUAAAAGUUGAUUUACAUGGAGAUAAACUUUUGCAGCAAUCAAAGAGAUACUGUGACUGCAAUAUAAUGAGCAAACUAUGUUAUUUGUGUUGCUAGGGGCAACCGAACACGGAACCAUAGCAGUGUUGGUUAAGACGCGCAGGGCUGAGCACAGCGGGUUGCACCAACCGAUGGUCCAGGGUGUGUCGUGGAGUUCCCAGUUGACACACACACUGAUCUGUCUGCUGAAGUGGCGUCUGUGUGUUUGGACAGCCCUGUCUACAAAAGGUUAAGUUCCCACGCUACAAAAUUGCAUUGUGAAUUAUGUUUCGUUGGCAAUGUAUCUUGUUGUGGAUUACACUUGCAUUUGAUAUAUCACAAAUACAUUUGGUGGCUAUGCCACAACAAAGGGCUUCCAAUCAGGAGACGGCUGGACGUGUCAUUAAGUUGUAGUUUUGUUCCCUAAACCUAACCAAGGGUUAGUUGUUGUGUUUUUGUUUUGUUUUGUUUUAAUUUCUUAGUCAUAUUAAGUCAAACCAAGAUUUGAUUUUACUAACUAAGUACCUUUGUUGCAUUUUUUGUUAACCAGGUGUUUGAAACGGUUUAAAAACUGCAACCAUUCGGUCAGAAAACAAAUACGCUCCCCUGUAAUUGAGAGUGCAGUUUAGUCGUAUGGGAUUGUCACUUUGGAGGAGUUGGUUUGGGAGGUUAACGUACGCAUUCACCAAGAACAUGAUCACCACUUCACAGACAGAAGACAGUGAACUCACAUAUACGUACACUUACACCUGCACACAGACUAUGCAACAGUGGUUUCAGGAAUCUCUUGGCACGGCACCAACGGCAGCCUGUUCACACAGUCUCAACACAACGAGGCUGUAACUCAAGAGGUCCCUUAAAAAGUCCUUAUUGUACAUCCCUCUUCAAAUUGCUCCUUCAGUGAUAAACUCAAGCACAGAGCUGCUUUACGGGGCAAAAACACCAAAUACCAACCUGUGUUGGAACAUCUAGAAGUUAUCCUGCUCUGUCUCUUUUCAACACACAAGUGUUCAAAGCCUGUUUUUAUUGAGGAAACCCAUAAAAGCAUCUGUUAAACAAACACUUAUUAUGGCGUUUUGCUUCCUGCUGCCCCCUAAAGAAUGACUUCCUUUAGCUAUAGAAAAAGGUUGUGACUUUGACCACAGACAUCUGCAGUCUAUAUUGUAUAUUACAGUUCCACCUCACGUCAACAGCACGCUAUUUUUAGCCGGUCCUGUCUUUGCAGGGCCCGGCUGUUUGUCUCCCACUGACUCUCUCUCUCUCUCUCUCUCUCUCGCUCCCUGUAGCGCUCCCACUCCCUGUCCUGAGAGUGCUUAGGCCUCGCCUUUGUGGCCUUUGUUUGUUCUGGAUUGACUCCUCCGACUUGCCUGGCCAUGAAUCUGUUCUUCCACCCCGACAUCCUUCCCUCUGCCUCCUCACCGAGUGAAGCUUUAAAGUGCACUGGAGUCUCUGACACAGCUGGAUCCUGUCUCCACUCCAUUGUGGGAGCGCCAGGUCAUGUUCAGUAGUCAACUGGACCGAAGCCAAAGAUCAUCUCAGGCCAAAGUGAGGAACUUUUACCACUGUAAUGAGGCCUCGGCUUGGCUGUAUUUUCAAGGACCUCUCUUGGUUGCAGAGAUUCACACUUUUUGAAAACAUAUUAUAUUAUCUACAUAUUUUAUUGACUGUUGUACACCGUCACUGACCGCUGACUGAUAACUCUUAACCAGCCGCUAGAGGCCACAAGCUAUAAACAACUGCUUUAAACUCUUGUUUACAUACAAUUAAGUAUUGUUUCUUUAUUGAUUAGCACGCCGAGAUAAGACAAUUGCAUGUGUGUGUGUGCGUGUGUGUGUGUGUGUGUGUGUUUAACCAACAAAUGACAAACUGGACCGAGUGCUGACAGUUUGUGACACCCGUGAGACGCAGUUGAAACGCAAACCUGCACAAAGCCGGUGCAGACAGCUGUGUCGAUUAAAUUGAGAGCUUAUCUGUUGUCUAAGAUGUGUGAGUGAAAACUAUAGC